This 265-nucleotide ribosomal RNA is filed under the name Campylobacter jejuni. RNAcentral's name for it is "partial 23S ribosomal RNA". It matches the Rfam family "Bacterial large subunit ribosomal RNA", at positions 1244 to 1511 of the family's 2925-position model. The record is from RNAcentral. Lineage: Bacteria; Pseudomonadati; Campylobacterota; Epsilonproteobacteria; Campylobacterales; Campylobacteraceae.
UUUGCGUCGAAGGUAUACCGGUAAGGAGUGCUGGAGCGAAUAGAAGUGAGCAUGCAGGCAUGAGUAGCGAUAAUUAAUGUGAGAAUCAUUAACGCCGUAAACCCAAGGUUUCCUACGCGAUGCUCGUCAUCGUAGGGUUAGUCGGGUCCUAAGUCGAGUCCGAAAGGGGUAGACGAUGGCAAAUUGGUUAAUAUUCCAAUACCAACAUUAGUGUGCGAUGGAAGGACGCUUAGGGCUAAGGGGGCUAGCGGAUGGAAGUGCUAGU